GAAGUGGUGCAAUAAUAUACACAGAAAAAAGUCUACGUAGUUCACGAUACGCGAUGCGUUAUUGUUGUUAUUCCGUUUUGGAGUUAUAAUAUUAAAGUAAAGAUCGAGGAUGGGAUUGCAGUGAUGUGUAUACGUGAUUAUCGAUUUGUCGAUCAUAUGAUAUUAUUGUAAAUCCGAUUGGGCUUAACUGAGGACAACCAGUCGGGGAAGGAAAUUAUUGAGGCAGCGUAUAAUAUCUUAAGGUAGCUGAUCGGCGUGAUGACUCAUCAAGAGUGAAAACUUUCAAAAGCUCAAGGCGAACCACCUUCAGAGGAUGCUCGGAGCGGGCCCGCAGCAGUAUACCGUGGUACACAUUCGGUUGUUUAAAACCACUGAUUGCAGCAGCAGCAGAGAGACAUACAAAUAUAGUUACUUACUAAACAUAAAUUCUUUGAAAUAAAUAAUAUCGAUUGAAAAUUGAAA
Molecule: long non-coding RNA, 462 nt
Organism: Myzus persicae (green peach aphid)
Lineage: Eukaryota; Metazoa; Arthropoda; Insecta; Hemiptera; Aphididae
Exons: 2
Source: RefSeq, a predicted model, not a curated record